GGGUUGUGAGGUUAAGCGACUAAGCGUACACGGUGGAUGCCCUGGCAGUCAGAGGCGAUGAAGGGCGUGCUAAUCUGCGAUAAGCGCCGGUAAGGUGAUAUGAACCGUUAUAACCGGCGAUACCCGAAUGGGGAAACCCAGUGUGAUUCGUCACACUAUCAUUAACUGAAUCCAUAGGUUAAUGAGGCGAACCGGGGGAACUGAAACAUCUAAGUACCCCGAGGAAAAGAAAUCAACCGAGAUUCCCCCAGUAGCGGCGAGCGAACGGGGAGGAGCCCAGAGCCUGAAUCAGCAUGUGUGUUAGUGGAAGCGUCUGGAAAGGCGCGCGAUACAGGGUGACAGCCCCGUACACAAAAGCGCAUGUGCUGUGAGCUCGAUGAGUAGGGCGGGACACGUGGUAUCCUGUCUGAAUAUGGGGGGACCAUCCUCCAAGGCUAAAUACUCCUGACUGACCGAUAGUGAACCAGUACCGUGAGGGAAAGGCGAAAAGAACCCCGGCGAGGGGAGUGAAAAAGAACCUGAAACCGUGUACGUACAAGCAGUGGGAGCACAGGUUUACCUGUGUGACUGCGUACCUUUUGUAUAAUGGGUCAGCGACUUAUAUUCUGUAGCAAGGUUAACCGAAUAGGGGAGCCGCAGGGAAACCGAGUCUUAAUUGGGCGUUAAGUUGCAGGGUAUAGACCCGAAACCCGGUGAUCUAGCCAUGGGCAGGUUGAAGGUUGGGUAACACUAACUGGAGGACCGAACCGACUAAUGUUGAAAAAUUAGCGGAUGACCUGUGGCUGGGGGUGAAAGGCCAAUCAAACCGGGAGAUAGCUGGUUCUCCCCGAAAGCUAUUUAGGUAGCGCCUCGUGAAUUCAUCUCCGGGGGUAGAGCACUGUUUCGGCUAGGGGGCCAUCCCGGCUUACCAACCCGAUGCAAACUGCGAAUACCGGAGAAUGUUAUCACGGGAGACACACGGCGGGUGCUAACGUCCGUCGUGAAGAGGGAAACAACCCAGACCGCCAGCUAAGGUCCCAAAGUCAUGGUUAAGUGGGAAACGAUGUGGGAAGGCCCAGACAGCCAGGAUGUUGGCUUAGAAGCAGCCAUCAUUUAAAGAAAGCGUAAUAGCUCACUGGUCGAGUCGGCCUGCGCGGAAGAUGUAACGGGGCUAAACCAUGCACCGAAGCUGCGGCAGCGACGCUGAUGCGUUGUUGGGUAGGGGAGCGUUCUGUAAGCCUGUGAAGGUGUGUCGUGAGGCAUGCUGGAGGUAUCAGAAGUGCGAAUGCUGACAUAAGUAACGAUAAAGCGGGUGAAAAGCCCGCUCGCCGGAAGACCAAGGGUUCCUGUCCAACGUUAAUCGGGGCAGGGUGAGUCGACCCCUAAGGCGAGGCCGAAAGGCGUAGUCGAUGGGAAACGGGUUAAUAUUCCCGUACUUGGUGUUACUGCGAAGGGGGGACGGAGAAGGCUAUGUUGGCCGGGCGACGGUUGUCCCGGUUUAAGCGUGUAGGUGUGUGUUCCAGGUAAAUCCGGUUCACUUUAACACUGAGGCGUGAUGACGAGGCACUACGGUGCUGAAGCAACAAAUGCCCUGCUUCCAGGAAAAGCCUCUAAGCAUCAGGUAACAUCAAAUCGUACCCCAAACCGACACAGGUGGUCAGGUAGAGAAUACCAAGGCGCUUGAGAGAACUCGGGUGAAGGAACUAGGCAAAAUGGUGCCGUAACUUCGGGAGAAGGCACGCUGACACGUAGGUGAAGUGAUUUACUCAUGGAGCUGAAGUCAGUCGAAGAUACCAGCUGGCUGCAACUGUUUAUUAAAAACACAGCACUGUGCAAACACGAAAGUGGACGUAUACGGUGUGACGCCUGCCCGGUGCCGGAAGGUUAAUUGAUGGGGUCAGCGCAAGCGAAGCUCCUGAUCGAAGCCCCGGUAAACGGCGGCCGUAACUAUAACGGUCCUAAGGUAGCGAAAUUCCUUGUCGGGUAAGUUCCGACCUGCACGAAUGGCGUAAUGAUGGCCAGGCUGUCUCCACCCGAGACUCAGUGAAAUUGAACUCGCUGUGAAGAUGCAGUGUACCCGCGGCAAGACGGAAAGACCCCGUGAACCUUUACUAUAGCUUGACACUGAACAUUGAGCCUUGAUGUGUAGGAUAGGUGGGAGGCUUUGAAGUGUGGACGCCAGUCUGCAUGGAGCCGACCUUGAAAUACCACCCUUUAAUGUUUGAUGUUCUAACGUGGACCCGUAAUCCGGGUUGCGGACAGUGUCUGGUGGGUAGUUUGACUGGGGCGGUCUCCUCCUAAAGAGUAACGGAGGAGCACGAAGGUUGGCUAAUCCUGGUCGGACAUCAGGAGGUUAGUGCAAUGGCAUAAGCCAGCUUGACUGCGAGCGUGACGGCGCGAGCAGGUGCGAAAGCAGGUCAUAGUGAUCCGGUGGUUCUGAAUGGAAGGGCCAUCGCUCAACGGAUAAAAGGUACUCCGGGGAUAACAGGCUGAUACCGCCCAAGAGUUCAUAUCGACGGCGGUGUUUGGCACCUCGAUGUCGGCUCAUCACAUCCUGGGGCUGAAGUAGGUCCCAAGGGUAUGGCUGUUCGCCAUUUAAAGUGGUACGCGAGCUGGGUUUAGAACGUCGUGAGACAGUUCGGUCCCUAUCUGCCGUGGGCGCUGGAGAACUGAGGGGGGCUGCUCCUAGUACGAGAGGACCGGAGUGGACGCAUCACUGGUGUUCGGGUUGUCAUGCCAAUGGCAUUGCCCGGUAGCUAAAUGCGGAAGAGAUAAGUGCUGAAAGCAUCUAAGCACGAAACUUGCCCCGAGAUGAGUUCUCCCUGAGACUUUAAGUCUCCUGAAGGAACGUUGAAGACGACGACGUUGAUAGGCCGGGUGUGUAAGCGCAGCGAUGCGUUGAGCUAACCGGUACUAAUGAACCGUGAGGCUUAACCUUACAACGCCGAAG
This 2929-nucleotide ribosomal RNA is filed under the name Salmonella enterica subsp. enterica serovar Inverness str. ATCC 10720. Its description in RNAcentral is "bacterial LSU rRNA". It matches the Rfam family "Bacterial large subunit ribosomal RNA". Lineage: Bacteria; Pseudomonadati; Pseudomonadota; Gammaproteobacteria; Enterobacterales; Enterobacteriaceae. The record is from RNAcentral.